Molecule: small nucleolar RNA, 125 nt
Organism: Rhinopithecus bieti (black snub-nosed monkey)
Lineage: Eukaryota; Metazoa; Chordata; Mammalia; Primates; Cercopithecidae
Source: Ensembl
AAUUGGGAUCAAAGAUUCAGCUGCCUUUCCAUUUAAGCAGCACAGACAGCCCAAAGUGAGUUUUCCUGUACAGUUACUCUUCUGUUAUCUGUAACUGAUCUAUGACAUUUUGGGAAAAGACAGCC